This 506-nucleotide ribosomal RNA is filed under the name uncultured bacterium. RNAcentral's name for it is "partial 16S ribosomal RNA". It matches the Rfam family "Bacterial small subunit ribosomal RNA", at positions 29 to 523 of the family's 1533-position model. The record is from RNAcentral.
AGUGAACGCUGGCGGUAGGCCUAACACAUGCAAGUCGAACGGCAGCACAGGAGAGCUUGCUCUCUGGGUGGCGAGUGGCGGACGGGUGAGGAAUACAUCGGAAUCUACUUUUUCGUGGGGGAUAACGUAGGGAAACUUACGCUAAUACCGCAUACGACCUACGGGUGAAAGCGGGGGACCUUCGGGCCUUGCGCGAUUGAAUGAGCCGAUGUCGGAUCAGCUAGUUGGCGGGGUAAAGGCCCACCAAGGCGACGAUCCGUAGCUGGUCUGAGGGGAUGAUCAGCCACACUGGAACUGAGAGACGGUCCAGACUCCUACGGGAGGCAGAAGUGGGGAAUAUUGGACAAUGGGCGCAAGCCUGAUCCAGCCAUACCGCGUGGGUGAAGAAGGCCUUCGGGUUGUAAAGCCCUUUUGUUGGGAAAGAAAUCCAGCUGGCUAAUACCCGGUUGGGAUGACGGUACCCAAAGAAUAAGCACCGGCUAACUUCGUGCCAGCAGCCGCGGUAA